GGCUCGGUGGUGGGUGGCCCACAUCUGCAACUAAUAGCCCAUUUGGAAGCAGUCUAUGCAGAGAUUGCCUGUUCGACUCAGGCCCGAGCCA
Non-coding RNA from Mycena polygramma, 91 nucleotides. The record is from the annotation of a GenBank genome assembly. NCBI's taxonomy places the organism in Eukaryota, Fungi, Basidiomycota, Agaricomycetes, Agaricales, Mycenaceae.